This is a non-coding RNA of Ceratotherium simum simum (southern white rhinoceros), 441 nucleotides long. NCBI's taxonomy places the organism in Eukaryota, Metazoa, Chordata, Mammalia, Perissodactyla, Rhinocerotidae. The record is from RefSeq and is a predicted model, not a curated record.
CUGUGCCAAGAGUUGAUUAACUCAAGUGAUUAAAAUACAAAAAAAAAAUAAAACGCAUUCCAGUAAUCUUCAUCAACACAAUCCAAUUCAAAUCAGGUUUCUUAGAAGAUAUAUGUAGGGAAUUUUUACUGUCUUACUCUGACAAUGUUGGUAUAUAUCCGAGGGCUAACUGUACAGCAGUAUGUCUAAUACUAUGGUGUAAAAUUGUUUAAUCAAACCUUUGAAUAGUUGGAAAAACUAUGUGUAUUCUAAAGUCAUUGGAAAUUAAAAGAAAAAUAUAUUCCAAUAUUCAAUUACAGAUAAAAAUGAUGCUUAGAAUAAAUAGUAAUCUAGUUUUCCAUCUCUCAGCUUGUGAGCUUCUGAUGUAACUAUUUCUGUUCAUAUGUGAUCCAAGGGAAACUAUAAUUCUGUCCUCUAUCCUAGUACCAUCUUUUCUACGUG